Molecule: long non-coding RNA, 3123 nt
Organism: Synchiropus splendidus (mandarinfish)
Lineage: Eukaryota; Metazoa; Chordata; Actinopteri; Syngnathiformes; Callionymidae
Exons: 3
Source: RefSeq, a predicted model, not a curated record
UUGAGCGUCGGUGCGGACUGACUCUACUCUGGAAAUUAACUUUAUGAACAUGAAGUCCGCUUUUACUGGUGAAAAAGAGUGCCUUUUUUUCAAUUCGAUACGUUCACAUCCUCCUGGUUCAAUAAAUCCUUACUGUCUGUGCAUGAAUUUUCAAAAGAAAACUUGGAACUGCUUUGGUCCUGUUUGUUUGCUCGUCUAAGAACAGAACCUCUGUCCAGAUCUGGCUCGGUCCAAACCGGAGACUAAAACCUCCAUCGCACCCGGACCAUUGCUGGGCCAGGUCCGAUCACCCGGUCCGAGCCUCCAUGUGUUCUGUACUUCCUCCUGCGCGCACAUUCUGUACUCAAUUUAGGGACAGUCGUGUGAGUGCUGCUGUUGUGGAUCUCUGGUUUCUCUCAACCGCGGGAUUUUUGGUAAGUGUUUUCUCGUCCUUCCCUGUAUCUCAGAUCGUAUAUGAAUAAUUUAGAGUUUUUAAAAAGCAUUAUGAAUGGAUGCUUCAAUCUUGAACACGCAUUUAUUUAUUUAAAUAUAUAAAUGUGCUGUGCAAAGUUGCAAAAUCUACGUCAAAAUACAUAGGUAGAGCCUCAUGUUUGUUUUCUGUAAGAAUAUAGAUGAAUAAUACUAAAAAUAAAUAAAUAUAAAACACCAAGAAAAAUAGUUUGAUGCCUUGUAUUACUUCAAGCAUUUUUAUAUAAUUUAUUUAAUUUCUGGAUUCUGGGAUUAAACCAUUGGGGUCAAACAAGAACAUUAAAAAAUAUAUUUUAUUUAAAAAAAAAAGUUCCAUCAAUACAUUAUUUUGUCAUGGGAUGUUAAAACAAAGUGAAGAUGCUUUUAAUAGCUUUAGAAGAAUGUAAACAUGCCUUCAAAAGUAUUAUGACAUUUCAUAACUUUCUAGAAAAAUGUGCUCUAUCAGGAAUUACUGAAAGUUAUUCAGAGAUCUUUAACAUGACAUCUGGGGUGAAAAGGUCACGGACAGUGUCGCCUCCCCCGUCUAGACAGACAGAACCACGCAAGGAUUUGCAGAUUAUCUAACCCCUGCUCAGGCCAGACAGCUCCAAAUCUGCUCACUAUAAUCUAAUCUAUGCCGGCGAUCAUAAUUUGUGAACCCAUUCAUGAGUUAUCAAUGACACAUUUGAAGUGUCGUGCAGGGCUCAGGACUUUACCUGGAAAGUGACGCUGCUGCUAUUCAUGGAGGGUUUCUCCUCAGGGUCGAAAGAGGUCAGCGGUGAAGCUGACGUCACUCAACCUGAAUAACCCAGGUUAUUUUAAUCCACACAGAUCAGUGAAUUUUUAUCCCUGCAUCCUGCUUCUUUUAUGUUUCGACAACACGGCUCCUUGUGACACCCAAAUGAUUUGACUGAUCACUGAGCUGUGGUGAUUCAAUUUCUGACCGACCAAUGGAAAACUCAAACCUGCCUCCGCCGCGUCAGACUCCCACUGAAUCAUUGAGGUCAGUGCGCAGACGUCCUCCUCUAAUAGCAGAGCAGUGUUGUUACUGUCAACGUCUUUAACAACAAUGGCGUUGAAUGUGAGCAUGUUUAAACACAACCCACUAGAAUGUCUUAUUGUUGACAAUAAACUCCUGAUGAUCCGGACUUUUUUUCCCAUAUCAUUUCAUCAACCAAUAGUGUGCCACCUACAACCCGGACGAAGUAGUUUUGUUCUUUCUUUAGACCAGAAAAAAAUAAACAAAUAUUUGUGAUAUAGUUUUCCUUCUAAGGAGGACUACAAUGCUCUGAGGGAUGAGUGUAAUAUUCGUUUGAGGACACACUGUGGUCAUCAUGUUGCUGAUCUCAUUCAAUCAUAUUAAUUCAAAAUUGUCUCAUAAGAUUUCUGUUUUUAAUUCAUGUCCCACUAACAUACUGAUGGUAACGCUAUCGAGUGUGAGCUUUACUUUAAGGUCCCUGUGUUGGACCUGUGACUGGACCAGCGCCACCAGAUGGCGCUGUCUGCUGCAAAAUGUUUGGACUGGAAAUUCUGAAUUCAUUCUGAAUCAAGGACGCUAUGUAGUGGCCUCUCAAAAUGAGGACACUGUUUCAUCAACCCUGCAAUACUGUUUCAUGACACCGCAUCUGCCCAUCACUAGUUCCUACUUGUACAACUCCUUUUAAGUUUUUCUGAGGACUGGCGUGACCCUUGACCUAGACCCGGUCUGGUUUAAGAGGCCACAUUGGUCUUCAUUUUACUGUCUUGGUUGAACUGGCAAAGUGAAGCUGUAGUUGUCUUGACUUCAGUUGAAGCGUCAUUUAAACUGCUGUCGUGCCUGAAGAGCUUCCCACCUGGACUGUACUGUCAUUUUCAUGACUGUAUUGUAUUAAUGUCUUUUCUUCUUCCUUUGCAUUAUUUAUCCAGCUGCAUCUCCACCUUGUUGAUCUACCCUGUUAAUUCAUCCAGAACGGCUGCAGCUGUGAGGGCCGGAUGUUUGCCACGUUCUCCUUCACACCUGAGAAGAAACAGGUUUUACUCAUGGACCUGUAGACGCGAAGGUCGGAGUCUCCCAGCGGUGCGACGACUUGAAAAGCACAUUGUUAUGUAAGGACACAUGACUGUGCUGGACUUGCAUUUGGAACCUGAAUCCAGAAAAAGAGCUGAGCUAAAAGGAGCGGCUUGUUUUCUCACUGAAAAAAAAGCAGACCAUCGCCUAUCUGUAUAGGCGAUGGUCUGCUGUAUAGAGAGCGUCCGAAUCAUGAGCGACAAUCGCGGCUCUUGUUUGUCAAUGUUAGAAUUAAACGUGUUGAUUUGUGAGAUUCCCAAGUGAAACCUUUCCACCAGCAGAUUACGUAACACCUCUCUGAAAAUCCAAAUGGACCGGAAACAUCAGCCUGAAGUUUUUUAACGUCAGCUCAACUAAGCGCACGCUCGAAUAGCUGACUGAUUCAGUUUCUGACGCAGAUAAAAUGUUCAUAUGUCUCUCACCUUGACAUUAAAUCCAACAUAGAACUUCUGUGAGAGUUGUGCAAUAACCUAUUUUAAUCUAGUUUAAUUUAUUUUAUUUUUUUAAUUUAUUUUUUUUACUCUCUGUGUGAUGCUCUUCCUGACUGCACGCCCUUUCUUGACUCUAUUGCUGCUGGAAAUGUACAUUUCCUGGAGGGAGUCUUCCCAAAGGGAUCAAUAAAGUCUAAG